Molecule: long non-coding RNA, 352 nt
Filed under: Lathyrus oleraceus (garden pea)
Lineage: Eukaryota; Viridiplantae; Streptophyta; Magnoliopsida; Fabales; Fabaceae
Description: Pisum sativum (pea) long non-coding RNA (PSAT_LNC012221)
Source: RNAcentral
UUGAGUUUACAUUUGCAUUUAUAAUAUUUUGUUUACGGUAACCUUUUGAUGUGUUUAUUGCUUUCUCUUUCGGACCAAUUGAGAUUGAUCUAUGGUUAUCACUUAGGCUGGACUGCCAGUGAUAAGGUUUUCAUCAGGUUACUCUACAAUAUAUAUCACCUAGGACUAGGGAUACCCUGUAUGAACUAGAGCAUUCUUGAUAUUAUACAGCUUAACUUCACCCUAAUUGGCUAUGGACAUAGGAAUUAGGGUAGAUUGAUUAAAGGUUUUAUCACCAAGGACUUGGGAGAAAAUACCCUUGAGAACUGGUAGUAAUCGAUAUUUGUUGAUGCAAUAGUAACUCAGAGUUGUU